AAAAACCCAAACAGAACCGAGAGAGGCCCAAGGCAAGGUGAAGUCCGAGUCGAGGCCUGACAAUUAAGCGACCCGACGGCGUCUUGGCUUAUAUACAUAUAUGGUGUAUAUAUACGAGUAUAUUUCUGGUCUUUUGGUCUGGUUUUUUGAGUUGGUUUGAGUUUUUAUGGAGGUACUCGAGCGAGUGAGGGACACGAUUCGAUUCCAAGUCAUUUGGCGGCCGCUUAUCUUUGGAAUGUAACUUAAACUUUAAGGAUUAUUGCCUACAAUAAAUUUGCGCGACUCUUUUAAGGCUGUAAGCCAAUACGUAGGACUACCUACCCCCCACAAAAACCAGGAGGCAUUUUGGACACGUGCCCUGGCUGCUCGAUUACCUGUCUGCUAAUGAGAGACCAAGACCAUGGCAAAGGAUUCAUGGAUUCAUGGAUUCAGGGAUUCAUGGCAUAUUGCCAUCGGUAUCCUCUUUGGAAGCUGUCCGUGCGUUCGCCUGUCAGUUGGCCCAUGAUUUAUGACACAUCCAUUCAAUGGUCAGAAGUCAUAACACCCACUAAAGCCAAGCCAAGUGGAAGUCUGCUGGUGUCCAAGCACACUUCACUGACUGCCGACCUCGCGUGCACUG
Molecule: long non-coding RNA, 619 nt
Organism: Drosophila pseudoobscura
Lineage: Eukaryota; Metazoa; Arthropoda; Insecta; Diptera; Drosophilidae
Exons: 2
Source: RefSeq, a predicted model, not a curated record